AGUGAACGCUGGCGGUAGGCCUAACACAUGCAAGUCGAACGGCAGCACAGUAAGAGCUUGCUCUUACGGGUGGCGAGUGGCGGACGGGUGAUGAAUACAUCGGAAUCUACUUUUUCGUGGGGGAUAACGUAGGGAAACUUACGCUAAUACCGCAUACGACCUACGGGUGAAAGCAGGGGAUCUUAGGACCUUGCGCGAUUGAAUGAGCCGAUGUCGGAUUAGCUAGUUGGCGGGGUAAAGGCCCACCAAGGCGACGAUCCGUAGCUGGUCUGAGAGGAUGAUCAGCCACACUGGAACUGAGACACGGUCCAGACUCCUACGGGAGGCAGCAGUGGGGAAUAUUGGACAAUGGGCGCAAGCCUGAUCCAGCCAUACCGCGUGGGUGAAGAAGGCCUUCGGGUUGUAAAGCCCUUUUGUUGGGAAAGAAAAGCAGCAGGUUAAUACCCCGCUGUUCUGACGGUACCCAAAGAAUAAGCACCGGCUAACUUCGUG
Molecule: ribosomal RNA, 492 nt
Filed under: uncultured bacterium
Lineage: Bacteria
Description: partial 16S ribosomal RNA
Rfam family: Bacterial small subunit ribosomal RNA
Source: RNAcentral